ACGCUUUUCAGAUGCCUUUCCUGUGCUUAUAUAGCUCCUGUCGGACUUGAUCCGGCUAUGGCGAUAAACUGCCGGUGCAAUAAACCAUUCGGACCCGGGGGCGGUACCCGGCGCCUCCACCUGAGUCCCUUGCAGUCAAGGGGUUGAGGCGGGGGCGAAAUAGGAUCGACGAGGGUGUAAAGAUCGGACUUUCGCUCGGCAUGGUACCACCGUCAUCGGGCUGUUAAAGUAGUUGCAAACGACAACUAUGCGGAAGCACGUCUCGCCGCUUAACGCGGUGCGAUAGCUUCAAAUUAAGCCCUGCGGGUUCGCACUUGCAGGCGGGGUUCGAAGGCACCUGGCAACAGAAGCCUUCACC
RNAcentral lists this transfer-messenger RNA (358 nucleotides) under Aureimonas fodinaquatilis. Its description in RNAcentral is "Alphaproteobacteria transfer-messenger RNA". It matches the Rfam family "Alphaproteobacteria transfer-messenger RNA". Rfam says of the family: Bacterial tmRNA, also known as 10Sa RNA or SsrA, is named for its dual tRNA and mRNA-like properties. Its role is to liberate the mRNA from a stalled ribosome. Lineage: Bacteria; Pseudomonadati; Pseudomonadota; Alphaproteobacteria; Hyphomicrobiales; Aurantimonadaceae. The record is from Rfam by way of RNAcentral.